UACGUAGGGAGCGAGCGUUGUCCGGAAUUACUGGGUGUAAAGGGAGCGUAGGCGGGAUGGCAAGUUGGGUGUUAAACCUAUCGGCUCAACUGAUAGUCGCACUCAAAACUGCCGUUCUUGAGUGAAGUAGAGGCAGGCGGAAUUCCUAGUGUAGCGGUGAAAUGCGUAGAUAUUAGGAGGAACACCAGUGGCGAAGGCGGCCUGCUGGGCUUUUACUGACGCUGAGGCUCGAAAGUGUGGGGAGCAAACAG
This 251-nucleotide ribosomal RNA is filed under the name uncultured bacterium. Its description in RNAcentral is "partial 16S ribosomal RNA". It matches the Rfam family "Bacterial small subunit ribosomal RNA", at positions 524 to 775 of the family's 1533-position model. The record is from RNAcentral.